GGCUCAGGACGAACGCUGGCGGCGUGCCUAAUACAUGCAAGUCGAACGAACUCUGGUAUUGAUUGGUGCUUGCAUCAUGAUUUACAUUUGAGUGAGUGGCGAACUGGUGAGUAACACGUGGGAAACCUGCCCAGAAGCGGGGGAUAACACCUGGAAACAGAUGCUAAUACCGCAUAACAACUUGGACCGCAUGGUCCGAGUUUGAAAGAUGGCUUCGGCUAUCACUUUUGGAUGGUCCCGCGGCGUAUUAGCUAGAUGGUGGGGUAACGGCUCACCAUGGCAAUGAUACGUAGCCGACCUGAGAGGGUAAUCGGCCACAUUGGGACUGAGACACGGCCCAAACUCCUACGGGAGGCAGCAGUAGGGAAUCUUCCACAAUGGACGAAAGUCUGAUGGAGCAACGCCGCGUGAGUGAAGAAGGGUUUCGGCUCGUAAAACUCUGUUGUUAAAGAAGAACAUAUCUGAGAGUAACUGUUCAGGUAUUGACGGUAUUUAACCAGAAAGCCACGGCUAACUACGUGCCAGCAGCCGCGGUAAUACGUAGGUGGCAAGCGUUGUCCGGAUUUAUUGGGCGUAAAGCGAGCGCAGGCGGUUUUUUAAGUCUGAUGUGAAAGCCUUCGGCUCAACCGAAGAAGUGCAUCGGAAACUGGGAAACUUGAGUGCAGAAGAGGACAGUGGAACUCCAUGUGUAGCGGUGAAAUGCGUAGAUAUAUGGAAGAACACCAGUGGCGAAGGCGGCUGUCUGGUCUGUAACUGACGCUGAGGCUCGAAAGUAUGGGUAGCAAACAGGAUUAGAUACCCUGGUAGUCCAUACCGUAAACGAUGAAUGCUAAGUGUUGGAGGGUUUCCGCCCUUCAGUGCUGCAGCUAACGCAUUAAGCAUUCCGCCUGGGGAGUACGGCCGCAAGGCUGAAACUCAAAGGAAUUGACGGGGGCCCGCACAAGCGGUGGAGCAUGUGGUUUAAUUCGAAGCUACGCGAAGAACCUUACCAGGUCUUGACAUACUAUGCAAAUCUAAGAGAUUAGACGUUCCCUUCGGGGACAUGGAUACAGGUGGUGCAUGGUUGUCGUCAGCUCGUGUCGUGAGAUGUUGGGUUAAGUCCCGCAACGAGCGCAACCCUUAUUAUCAGUUGCCAGCAUUAAGUUGGGCACUCUGGUGAGACUGCCGGUGACAAACCGGAGGAAGGUGGGGAUGACGUCAAAUCAUCAUGCCCCUUAUGACCUGGGUUACACACGUGCUACAAUGGAUGGUACAACGAGUUGCGAACUCGCGAGAGUAAGCUAAUCUCUUAAAGCCAUUCUCAGUUCGGAUUGUAGGCUGCAACUCGCCUACAUGAAGUCGGAAUCGCUAGUAAUCGCGGAUCAGCAUGCCGCGGUGAAUACGUUCCCGGGCCUUGUACACACCGCCCGUCACACCAUGAGAGUUUGUAACACCCAAAGUCGGUGGGGUAACCUUUUAGGAACCAGCCGCCUAAGGUGGGACAGAUGAU
Molecule: ribosomal RNA, 1489 nt
Filed under: uncultured organism
Description: SSU rRNA
Rfam family: Bacterial small subunit ribosomal RNA
Source: RNAcentral